Molecule: unclassified non-coding RNA, 256 nt
Filed under: Glomus sp.
Lineage: Eukaryota; Fungi; Glomeromycota; Glomeromycetes; Glomerales; Glomeraceae
Description: partial contains 5.8S ribosomal RNA and internal transcribed spacer 2
Rfam family: 5.8S ribosomal RNA (bases 1-65)
Source: RNAcentral
GUGAAUCAUCGAAUCUUUGAACGCAAAUUGCACUCUCCGCGGAGAGUAUUCCUGUUUGAGGGUCAGCCUAUAGAAAAUCAACAUCUUGACUGUUUCGCGGUGGCGGUCGUCGGGAAUUGGGUCAUCUUAAAUCUUUUGGCGUUAAGCGACUUAAAAUUUUCCUUUUAGUUCCAUUAACGUUUCUAAGAUGUAUUUCUUUAGACGUUUAAGGUAUCGGUUUUUAUUAUACGUGACCAUCAUGUCGUGUCUCGCCCAU